Molecule: long non-coding RNA, 455 nt
Organism: Cucurbita maxima (winter squash)
Lineage: Eukaryota; Viridiplantae; Streptophyta; Magnoliopsida; Cucurbitales; Cucurbitaceae
Exons: 3
Source: RefSeq, a predicted model, not a curated record
GAGUAAUGGAGUGGAGAAAACCGGGCCGGGGGUUUUAUAAGGAAAUAGAAGAAGAUGGGUUGCUGAGUGGACAUAAUAUUUGCCACGUGGAGUCCUACAUGGCAGUAAUAAUCCUGAAAUUGGCAGUUUGCUAGCGUGACAAUUAUUGCACUUUCACUCAGUUGGGUCCAUGGAUAUGGGCCAGAUGGCGAGACGUGUCGCGUGGAUGAAGUGGAAGUGGGGGACGAGAGCGGGGCAAAGUUUACGGUGUUCGCAAAAAUAUUUACCAUCUCGAAAAUAAACUUGGGUAUAGGGCCAGGUGGCGGUCAACAUUCGUGAUGACCAUGGACCGCCAGACAUGCGUCCGUACGUGGUCCGGUUUAGGCUCCCUGUUCGGUUCCACAAAAAUAAGAUUGUCCAAGUGUUGAUUCUAAUUAAAACAAAGCCAAGAAGUAAUUCUAACUUUUGAAAUUAGU